This 23-nucleotide non-coding RNA is filed under the name Drosophila melanogaster (fruit fly). The record is from RNAcentral. Lineage: Eukaryota; Metazoa; Arthropoda; Insecta; Diptera; Drosophilidae.
UAUUGAUUGUAUACAAUGAGUUG